RNAcentral lists this ribosomal RNA (756 nucleotides) under uncultured bacterium. RNAcentral's name for it is "bacterial SSU rRNA". It matches the Rfam family "Bacterial small subunit ribosomal RNA", at positions 98 to 840 of the family's 1533-position model. The record is from RNAcentral.
GCGAACGGGUGAGUAACACGUGGGCAACCUGCCCAAAAGAGGGGGAUAACACUUGGAAACAGGUGCUAAUACCGCAUAACCAUAGUUACCGCAUGGUAACUAUGUAAAAGGUGGCUAUACUACCGCUUUUGGAUGGGCCCGCGGCGCAUUAGCUAGUUGGUAGGGUAAAGGCUUACCAAGGCAAUGAUGCGUAGCCGAAUUGAGAGGUUGAUCGGCCACAUUGGGACUGAGACACGGCCCAAACUCCUACGGGAGGCAGCAGUAGGGAAUCUUCCACAAUGGGCGAAAGCCUGAUGGAGCAACGCCGCGUGGGUGAAGAAGGUCUUCGGAUCGUAAAACCCUGUUGUUAGAGAAGAAAGUGCGUGAGAGUAACUGUUCACGUUUCGACGGUAUCUAACCAGAAAGCCACGGCUAACUACGUGCCAGCAGCCGCGGUAAUACGUAGGUGGCAAGCGCUAUCCGGAUUUAUUGGGCGUAAAGGGAACGCAGGCGGUCUUUUAAGUCUGAUGUGAAAGCCUUCGGCUUAACCGGAGUAGUGCAUUGGAAACUGGGAGACUUGAGUGCAGAAGAGGAGAGUGGAACUCCAUGUGUAGCGGUGAAAUGCGUAGAUAUAUGGAAGAACACCAGUGGCGAAAGCGGCUCUCUGGUCUGUAACUGACGCUGAGGUUCGAAAGCGUGGGUAGCAAACAGGAUUAGAUACCCUGGUAGUCCACGCCGUAAACGAUGAAUGCUAAGUGUUGGAGGGUUUCCGCCCUU